CAGCCGCCGCGGUAAUACGUAGGGGGCUAGCGUUGUCCGGAAUUAUUGGGCGUAAAGCGCGCGCAGGCGGUCCUUUAAGUCUGAUGUGAAAGCCCACGGCUCAACCGUGGAGGGUCAUUGGAAACUGGGGGACUUGAGUGCAGGAGAGGAGAGCGGAAUUCCACGUGUAGCGGUGAAAUGCGUAGAGAUGUGGAGGAACACCAGUGGCGAAGGCGGCUCUCUGGCCUGUAACUGACGCUGAGGCGCGAAAGCGUGGGGAGCAAACAGGAUUAGAUACCCUGGUAGUCCACGCCGUAAACGAUGAGUGCUAAGUGUUAGAGGGGUCACACCCUUUAGUGCUGUAGCUAACGCGAUAAGCACUCCGCCUGGGGAGUACGGCCGCAAGGCUGAAACUUAAAGGAAUUGGCGGG
Molecule: ribosomal RNA, 410 nt
Filed under: uncultured microorganism
Description: bacterial SSU rRNA
Rfam family: Bacterial small subunit ribosomal RNA
Source: RNAcentral